GCGCCAGGCCACCGCUCCCAGCGCCACCGCCGCCAGCCCCAGCACCGCGACGCCGAUCCACGCGGGCCGCGCGGGCGCGGGGAGGCCAAGGCUGGAGAGCGCGCGUGAGCCGGCAGCACCCAUGACCGUGAAGCGCGGCACUGCGCUACUGUUGUCCACGCGGGGCCGCCCUCCUCCCGUCCGCCAGGCUCCUGGGCCUCGACGCCAGCGUGCGCGCGACUUCUGGGAAGGGGCCAGCAAAAGGGAAGACUGGGGAACAUCUGGCACAGCUGUCUGCGGCCGGAGAACGCCUCCUGAGUACUUGCAGGGUCUUGGACAAAAGACCUUCCUUUGAAAUGGGGUCACAAGAAAGGACCGGCCCACACACACACACACACACACACACCCCGGCUUCGUGGAGGAGUGACCCACCUCGGGUCUCCCCACAGCCCCCAGGACGCUCCGUUACAGCUCUUGGCAAGCCAGGAGGCAAGGCUUCUUUCCAGAAAGUAGGAAAGUAUUUUUCUCUUUUCUUUCCCAUUGGUUUGCCCUUAGUGUCGCUCAUCAUGGGCACAGGUGUGACAGUGGAAAGGCAUUAGGACAGUUAUCAGUGGGACAGGCGAAAGCUGCGUGACGGCUCCCACACGCGGUGACCUGGUGGUGGGGGAGCGCACUUUAGGCCCCCGCUGGGCCCCAUGCAGGGCUAUGUCUUCAGUACCCUGAAGUUUAGUCGCUUUGCUGCCUGGCUUUUUGUUCCUUUCCUUGCUUUAUUCACCAUUCUGGCUCUCUGGGGAGCAGCGUUCUGCUGAGUGGCUGCCCCAGCCUCUGCCUGCCCUCUGGUGCUGGCCACGAUCCAAGUCUCCUGUGGGCGGAUGCCCUCAAUGGCCUUUGUCUCUGGUCAUCCUUAGUGAGGCUGCUUCAGUGCGCAUCCCCUAAAACCACAAACCACAGGGAGGUACCUCAAGUCACCUUUCUGCCAGGUCCUCAGACACCCUCCUGGACGUCAGGAAACCUCGACCCUGUUGAUGAGAGCUGUGGGCUGCGCUUUGGGGGAACACAUUGGCCUCCUCUCCUGUUCAAUUUGAAAUCUGGACAAAUCUCCUGCCUAGUGAUGCCUUUAAAAUUCAGACCUUGUAAAGCACAUGAGGAGCCUGGGAGAAACGCACAUGGACACAGUGCUGUGGGAACAGUUGGGAGUCACCGCAGCUGGUCCCUCCAACUGAGCCCAAGUGCGACUCUCCAUGCUUCGGGCAGACUAGACGUGAGUCUAAAAUGACUGCACUUAGCAUGGAAUAAAAACCACACCAGGAACUGUGGUGAGCAUGAAAAGGUGAGAAAGAUUACACAAGGAAA
Molecule: long non-coding RNA, 1332 nt
Organism: Cavia porcellus (domestic guinea pig)
Lineage: Eukaryota; Metazoa; Chordata; Mammalia; Rodentia; Caviidae
Exons: 3
Source: RefSeq, a predicted model, not a curated record